RNAcentral lists this long non-coding RNA (207 nucleotides) under Elaeis guineensis (African oil palm). Its description in RNAcentral is "long non-coding RNA (EGUI_LNC018817)". Lineage: Eukaryota; Viridiplantae; Streptophyta; Magnoliopsida; Arecales; Arecaceae. The record is from RNAcentral.
CCUCUAAAGCAAAACUUGAGUCGGCUCAUUAGAGCAUCAUGUCUCUCGAAUUUUAAGUCAAGAGCAAGAAGCAUUCCAUCAGUCAGCUUCGGAGGGAGAGAGAUGGAUGCAUCGAGGAGUUGGAAGCAGAGCACAGAAGGUAUCGGGCCACCAUGGAGAGGUUGGCAUUGGCCGAUGCAGAGUCAGCCUCCACGAAGGCAGAAGCUG